Molecule: non-coding RNA, 72 nt
Filed under: human gut metagenome
Description: Glycine riboswitch
Rfam family: Glycine riboswitch aptamer
About the family: This family represents the bacterial glycine riboswitch.
Source: RNAcentral
GAGCUCGGAAGAGACCGCGCGCAGCGCGGCGCCGAAGGGGAACGCAAAAGCUCUCAGGCAAAAGGACCGGAC